AGGAGCCAGGACAUGCGGGCUGCCGCCAGAAAGCUGGAGGGGACAACGGAGCAGAGUGUCUCCUAGAGCUUCCACGAGGAGCCAGCCCUGCAGAGACCUCCACUUUGGUACCACGCACGCCGGGUGUCUGACCUCCAGAACUGUAAGAUACUAGGGCUCAAGAAUAUGCGAAGCUUUGCUGGUCACCUGCACAAUUACUCAGCUCUGCCAUUACAACACGAGAGCCUCUAGGAACAAUACUUCAAUGAAUGGGCACAGCUGUGUUCCAAUAAAACUUUAUUUGCAAAGCUUAGGAAAUAUGAAAGUGUAAUUAUAUCAUACUCGGAGAAGACAGGACAGAGGAACGCAGGAAGUGCUGGUGAGGCCCGGAGGGGUGUCUGCUCCCCCCUAAAUGGGGGCUGUGGUGGGGUGAACAGGCUUGGAGUGUGGGGAGGGUCUGGGAGCUUUCUCAGGUGGUGGUGCUAAAGAUGGAUUUUGAGGGCAAAGUAGGAGUUUCAGGAGGUUGAAGCCAGAAGAGUUUUCAGGGGAAACCAAAGUCACGUGCAAAGGUAUGGACACGCGGCGGAGCUGCAGUGCGCGGGUCCCUGCCUAAGUCCGGGGGCCGACUUCAGUGGCAGAGGAAGCCGGGGAGGUGGGCUGGGGCCGUGUCAUGAGCACUCCCCCGCUGUGUGCAGAGGAGCCGGGUUUCUCCCGCAGGUGCUGUGGAGCCCCUGUGGAGUGUCAAGCGGGCGAGACCUGCCCAGAACCGGGGGGAUGGUGAGAAGGAGGCGUGGGAGGUAGGUAGAAGCCCGGGUGACCUUUGGAUGCCCAGGGUCGGCCCUGGCCUCAGUGCCCUUGGAUGAGAUCCGAGCCCUCUGUGAGUUUGGUCCAGAGCCUUACUCUUUAGAGCCCUCUAGGUUCCCCUGUUCCAUCUCGGCGACCUUGGAUUGGCUGGCAGAUUCCCCAUCCUGCAUGCCUGGCUCAGCUUCUUCGCCUGGGAAGCGGUAGUGCCAGCGACACCCCGCCCCCGCUGACAGAGAGCACCGGGCGGUUCGAUGGUCUGGUUCACGUGCCGGCCCGGCCAGGCUGGAGUGCACGGUGUUCCUUCAGUGACUAAAUGCUAAUCUGGGCGCUGCUGCGGAGGUGUUUUGAAGAGUCAUGGAGAGAACUGAGACUCCUGUUAACCUAAACCCUGGGGCAUCGUGUUGGCCACCGGGCCCUGGAGGUGCUCGGUCCGGACCCUCAGGUGUGCAUCAGGACACUCAAAGGCCCUCAGGGCGCCUGCUUCACUCCAGCUCCGCGGCAGCAAAACCUUGAAGAAGAAUAGGAGGUUGGACCAGAGCAUUGCAACCUAGCCGAGAAGCUGAAUCCAGCGAGGGCCAUGAGAACUUGGGAAGUUCUCAGCGCGCGCUGCCAGAGGCUGGCUCGGCAGUCUCUCCACUCAGCCCCAGCCUCGUGUGUGAGACCAAGGGGUGCAGAAAGAUGUGAAUUCACCUGCGAGGGAAAGAUGGGGUAGCGCCCCCCAAGAAAAGAUCAACCGGAGAUGCCGUGGGCUGAGGAUGCCUCACGCUCUGCUCUGGUUGCUAAACCUCUGACUGUAUUUGCAAGAUGUAGUGAAUAAAAACACAGGAUGCACCCUGGCUGGCAUAGCUCAGUGGAUUGAGCGCGGGCUGCGAACCAAAGCAUCGCAGGUUCGAUUCCCAGUCAGGGCACGUGCCUGGGUUGCAG
Long non-coding RNA from Phyllostomus hastatus (greater spear-nosed bat), 1707 nucleotides. RefSeq lists it as uncharacterized. The record is from RefSeq and is a predicted model, not a curated record. The transcript is spliced from 5 exons. Lineage: Eukaryota; Metazoa; Chordata; Mammalia; Chiroptera; Phyllostomidae.